This 345-nucleotide ribosomal RNA is filed under the name Escherichia coli. RNAcentral describes it as "partial 23S ribosomal RNA". It matches the Rfam family "Bacterial large subunit ribosomal RNA", at positions 1 to 373 of the family's 2925-position model. The record is from RNAcentral. Lineage: Bacteria; Pseudomonadati; Pseudomonadota; Gammaproteobacteria; Enterobacterales; Enterobacteriaceae.
GGGUUGUGAGGUUAAGCGACUAAGCGUACACGGUGGAUGCCCUGGCAGUCAGAGGCGAUGAAGGACGUGCUAAUCUGCGAUAAGCGUCGGUAAGGUGAUAUGAACCGUUAUAACCGGCGAUUUCCGAAUGGGGAAACCCAGUGUGAUUCGUCACACUAUCAUUAACUGAAUCCAUAGGUUAAUGAGGCGAACCGGGGGAACUGAAACAUCUAAGUACCCCGAGGAAAAGAAAUCAACCGAGAUUCCCCCAGUAGCGGCGAGCGAACGGGGAGGAGCCCAGAGCCUGAAUCAGUGUGUGUGUUAGUGGAAGCGUCUGGAAAGGCGCGCGAUACAGGGUGACAGCCC